Molecule: ribosomal RNA, 2372 nt
Filed under: Streptomyces sp. WAC02707
Lineage: Bacteria; Bacillati; Actinomycetota; Actinomycetes; Kitasatosporales; Streptomycetaceae
Description: partial 23S ribosomal RNA
Rfam family: Bacterial large subunit ribosomal RNA
Source: RNAcentral
AGUAGCACGCUCAAGACCCGAAGCGGAGUGAUCUAGCCAUGGGCAGGUUGAAGCGGAGGUAAGACUUCGUGGAGGACCGAACCCACCAGGGUUGAAAACCUGGGGGAUGACCUGUGGUUAGGGGUGAAAGGCCAAUCAAACUCCGUGAUAGCUGGUUCUCCCCGAAAUGCAUUUAGGUGCAGCGUCGUGUGUUUCUUGCCGGAGGUAGAGCACUGGAUAGGCGAUGGGCCCUACCGGGUUACUGACCUUAGCCAAACUCCGAAUGCCGGUAAGUGAGAGCGCGGCAGUGAGACUGUGGGGGAUAAGCUCCAUGGUCGAGAGGGAAACAGCCCAGAGCAUCGACUAAGGCCCCUAAGCGUACGCUAAGUGGGAAAGGAUGUGGAGUCGCACAGACAACCAGGAGGUUGGCUUAGAAGCAGCCACCCUUGAAAGAGUGCGUAAUAGCUCACUGGUCUAGUGAUUCCGCGCCGACAAUGUAGCGGGGCUCAAGCGUACCGCCGAAGUCGUGUCAUUGCGAUAUAUACCCCCAACGGGGAUCGUGAUGGGUAGGGGAGCGUCGUGUGCCGGGUGAAGCAGCCGCGUAAGCGAGUUGUGGACGGUUCACGAGUGAGAAUGCAGGCAUGAGUAGCGAUACAAACGUGAGAAACGUUUGCGCCGAUUGACUAAGGGUUCCUGGGUCAAGCUGAUCUGCCCAGGGUAAGUCGGGACCUAAGGCGAGGCCGACAGGCGUAGUCGAUGGAUAACCGGUUGAUAUUCCGGUACCCGCUGUGAAGCGUCAAACAUCGAGCAUCGUGAUGCUAAGGCCGUGAAACCGCCCGCUGCCGGCUUUGCCGUCAGUGGGAGUGGUGGAGCCGCUGAACCAAGCGGUUAGUAGGUGAGUGAUGGGGUGACGCAGGAAGGUAGUCCAUCCCGGGCGGUGGUUGUCCCGGGGUAAGGGUGUAGGACGUCAGGUAGGUAAAUCCGCCUGGCAAUAGUCUGAGACCUGAUGCCGAGCCGAUUGUGGUGAAGUGGAUGAUCCUAUGCUGUCGAGAAAAGCCUCUAGCGAGUUUCAUGGCGGCCCGUACCCUAAACCGACUCAGGUGGUCAGGUAGAGAAUACCGAGGCGUUCGGGUGAACUAUGGUUAAGGAACUCGGCAAAAUGCCCCCGUAACUUCGGGAGAAGGGGGGCCAUUCUUGGUGAUCGGAUUUACUCCGUGAGCUGGGGGUGGCCGCAGAGACCAGCGAGAAGCGACUGUUUACUAAAAACACAGGUCCGUGCGAAGCCGUAAGGCGAUGUAUACGGACUGACGCCUGCCCGGUGCUGGAACGUUAAGGGGACCGGUUAGCUUGGAUUCGUCCAGGCGAAGCUGAGAACUUAAGCGCCAGUAAACGGCGGUGGUAACUAUAACCAUCCUAAGGUAGCGAAAUUCCUUGUCGGGUAAGUUCCGACCUGCACGAAUGGCGUAACGACUUCUCGACUGUCUCAACCAUAGGCCCGGUGAAAUUGCACUACGAGUAAAGAUGCUCGUUUCGCGCAGCAGGACGGAAAGACCCCGGGACCUUUACUACAGUUUGAUAUUGGUGUUCGGUUCGGCUUGUGUAGGAUAGCUGGGAGACUUUGAAGCUCGCACGCCAGUGUGGGUGGAGUCGUCGUUGAAAUACCAGUCUGGUCGUGCUGGAUGUCUAACCUGGGUCCGUGAUCCGGAUCAGGGACAGUGUCUGAUGGGUAGUUUAACUGGGGCGGUUGCCUCCUAAAGGGUAACGGAGGCGCCCAAAGGUUCCCUCAGCCUGGUUGGCAAUCAGGUGUUGAGUGUAAGUGCACAAGGGAGCUUGACUGUGAGACCGACGGGUCGAGCAGGGACGAAAGUCGGGACUAGUGAUCCGGCGGUGGCUUGUGGAAGCGCCGUCGCUCAACGGAUAAAAGGUACCCCGGGGAUAACAGGCUGAUCUUCCCCAAGAGUCCAUAUCGACGGGAUGGUUUGGCACCUCGAUGUCGGCUCGUCGCAUCCUGGGGCUGGAGUCGGUCCCAAGGGUUGGGCUGUUCGCCCAUUAAAGCGGUACGCGAGCUGGGUUUAGAACGUCGUGAGACAGUUCGGUCCCUAUCCGCUGUGCGCGUAGGAGUCUUGAGAAGGGCUGUCCCUAGUACGAGAGGACCGGGACGGACGAACCUCUGGUGUGCCAGUUGUUCUGCCAAGGGCAUGGCUGGUUGGCUACGUUCGGGAGGGAUAACCGCUGAAAGCAUCUAAGCGGGAAGCCUGCUUCGAGAUGAGGACUCCCACCUCCUAGAGAGGGUAAGGCUCCCAGUAGACGACUGGGUUGAUAGGCCAGAUAUGGAAGCCGGGUAACCGGUGGAGUUGACUGGUACUAAUAGGCCGAGGGCUUGUCCUCAGUUG